This 486-nucleotide ribosomal RNA is filed under the name uncultured bacterium. RNAcentral describes it as "partial 16S ribosomal RNA". It matches the Rfam family "Bacterial small subunit ribosomal RNA", at positions 30 to 507 of the family's 1533-position model. The record is from RNAcentral.
AUUGAACGCUGGCGGCAUGCCUUACACAUGCAAGUCGAACGGCAGCACGGGUUCUUGCUCCUGGUGGCGAGUGGCGAACGGGUGAGUAAUACAUCGGAACAUGUCCUGUAGUGGGGGAUAGCCCGGCGAAAGCCGGAUUAAUACCGCAUACGAUCUACGGACGAAAGCGGGGGACCUUCGGGCCUCGCGCUAUAGGGCUGGCCGAUAGCUGAUUAGCUAGUUGGUGGGGUAAAGGCCUACCAAGGCGACGAUCAGUAGCUGGUCUGAGAGGACGACCAGCCACACUGGGACUGAGGCACGGCCCAGACUCCUACGGGAGGCAGCAGUGGGGAAUUUUGGGCAAUGGGCGAAAGCCUGAUCCAGCAAUGCCGCGUGUGUGAAGAAGGCCUUCGGGUUGUAAAGCACUUUUGUCCGGAAAGAAAUCCUUGGCUCUAAUACAGUCGGGGGAUGACGGUACCGGAAGAAUAAGCACCGGCUAACUACGUG